AUUCCAGCUCCAAUAGCGUAUAUUAAAGUUGUUGCAGUUAAAAAGCUCGUAGUUGGAUUUGGGACUGGAGUCGUCGGGUCGGCCGCGAGGUCUGUUACUUGGCGGCUCUGUCAUUACAAUUCCCUGGGACCUGUCGUGUGCUUCGCUGUACGCGGCACGGGACUUGGGACGUUUACUUUGAAAAAAUUAGAGUGUUCAAAGCAGGCUUUUUAAGCCCGAAUACAUGAGCAUGGAAUAAUGGAAUAGGAUAGCGGUUCUAUUUUGUUGGUUUCUACGACCGCAGUAAUGAUUAACAGGGACAGUCAGGGGCACUCGUAUUCCGCCGAGAGAGGUGAAAUUCUCAGACCAGCGGAAGACGAACCACUGCGAAAGCAUUUGCCAGGGAUGUUUUCAUUA
Molecule: ribosomal RNA, 396 nt
Filed under: Obelia sp.
Lineage: Eukaryota; Metazoa; Cnidaria; Hydrozoa; Leptothecata; Obeliidae
Description: partial small subunit ribosomal RNA
Rfam family: Eukaryotic small subunit ribosomal RNA
Source: RNAcentral